UUUUAUUUGAGAGUUUGAUCCUGGCUCAGGAUGAACGCUGGCGGCGUGCCUAACACAUGCAAGUUGAGCGAUUUACUUCGGUAAAGAGCGGCGGACGGGUGAGUAACGCGUGGGUAACCUACCCUGUACACACGGAUAACAUACCGAAAGGUAUGCUAAUACGGGAUAAUAUAUUUGAGAGGCAUCUCUUGAAUAUCAAAGGUGAGCCAGUACAGGAUGGACCCGCGUCUGAUUAGCUAGUUGGUAAGGUAACGGCUUACCAAGGCGACGAUCAGUAGCCGACCUGAGAGGGUGAUCGGCCACAUUGGAACUGAGACACGGUCCAAACUCCUACGGGAGGCAGCAGUGGGGAAUAUUGCACAAUGGGCGAAAGCCUGAUGCAGCAACGCCGCGUGAGUGAUGAAGGCCUUUGGGGUCGUAAAACUCUGUCCUCAAGGAAGAUAAUGACGGUACUUGAGGAGGAAGCCCCGGCU
This 473-nucleotide ribosomal RNA is filed under the name Clostridioides difficile 70-100-2010. RNAcentral's name for it is "bacterial SSU rRNA". It matches the Rfam family "Bacterial small subunit ribosomal RNA", at positions 1 to 498 of the family's 1533-position model. Lineage: Bacteria; Bacillati; Bacillota; Clostridia; Peptostreptococcales; Peptostreptococcaceae. The record is from RNAcentral.